RNAcentral lists this ribosomal RNA (455 nucleotides) under Pholcus multidentatus. Its description in RNAcentral is "partial 16S ribosomal RNA". The record is from RNAcentral. Lineage: Eukaryota; Metazoa; Arthropoda; Arachnida; Araneae; Pholcidae.
CUUAAAGUAAGACCUGCUCAAUGAUAUUUAAAUAGCCGCAGUUCAACUGUGCUAAGGUAGCAUAAUAACUUGCUUCUUAAUUAGAAGAUAGAAUGAAAGGUCACACACUAAAAUUAUGUUUCUUUUAUACUAAAUUAAAUUAAAACAAGAGUCAAAAUUCUUUUAAAUAUAUAGCGGGACGACAAGACCCUAACAAACUUAUUAUUUAGUUGGGGAAACAAAUUAAAAAAACUUUAACUCAAUAAAUUACACAACUUUAAGAUUAAAUAAAGUCUAGUUACUGUAGGGAUAACAGCGUUAUUUCUUUUAAGAGACCUUAUCUAAAAAGAAGAUUACGACCUCGAUGUUGAAUUAAUCAACCUAUAAUACGCAACAGUUUAUAAUAAGGUAGUCUGGUUUCUAUCUGCUAUACUCUUAAGUAAACAGUACGAAAGGACCUUAACUUAUGAUAAAAU